RNAcentral lists this ribosomal RNA (606 nucleotides) under Triticum aestivum (bread wheat). Its description in RNAcentral is "partial small subunit ribosomal RNA". The record is from RNAcentral. Lineage: Eukaryota; Viridiplantae; Streptophyta; Magnoliopsida; Poales; Poaceae.
AUGAGGACGAUAUCAAUAAGAAGGUUGAGCAGUCAUCAUCGUCGAUUCUGUGAUGUGUUACAAUCACGGACGACUCGUGUUAGGCUCGUGCUCUCGGUGCUGAUCAGCUUCCUUUGGUCAGGGGUGUACUACGGACUGAGCCUCAAUGUGGUCAACAUAAAAAUCAACAUGUACAUUGGUGUCGUUGUUAAUUCUCUCGCUGAGAUGCCCGUGUACCUACUCACUGCCAGGCUGCUCCGGCACUUCGGCAGGAAGCCGCUCGGCAUUGGCACAAUGCUUCUCAGCGGUGUCUUUUGCACAACUGCCACCCUCAUUGCCGAUGUCAAUUCCAUGAGGGUGGUUAGGAUGGCAUGUGGGGUUAUAGGGAUCUUUGGGAUGUCAGGGACAUACAACCUGUUGAUAGUAUACACGUCCGAGUUGUUCCCUACGGUGGUGCGGACUGUAGCCAUGGGAUGCACAUCACAAGCAUCGCAAAUGGGUGCCAUACUAGCACCCAUGGUGGUCUUGUUCGGGGAUCGGCUGCCGUUUGCAGUGUUUGGCAUGUUUGGCAUCAUCGGUGGGCUGCUGAUGUUCUGCCUCCCAGAGACUAUGGAUAAGCCAUUGUAA